RNA transcript from Hyalella azteca, 267 nucleotides. RefSeq lists it as uncharacterized. NCBI's taxonomy places the organism in Eukaryota, Metazoa, Arthropoda, Malacostraca, Amphipoda, Hyalellidae. The transcript is spliced from 3 exons. The record is from RefSeq and is a predicted model, not a curated record.
UGUCCAUCAAGCCUCUGAGCAACGGCGCCCCCCCCGCCCCCGCCAGCGUCGACACCCUGAGGGCAACCAUCCAGGGCAUGACCCUCAUACCCUCGAAGGGCCGUGUAGGGGGGGCGGUGUGGACGGAGGGGGGCGGUGAGGGGGGCGGCGCCCUGCGACGCUCCAGCAGCGCCACCAGGAGCUCCUCUGCCGACCUCCUGGGGCUACACUUCGGGGCGCCCCCCACCGCCCCCCUUAACAAUGACCCGAUGUCACCGCCUGCGCUCG